RNAcentral lists this ribosomal RNA (459 nucleotides) under uncultured bacterium. RNAcentral describes it as "partial 16S ribosomal RNA". It matches the Rfam family "Bacterial small subunit ribosomal RNA", at positions 338 to 795 of the family's 1533-position model. The record is from RNAcentral.
CCUACGGGUGGCAGCAGUGAGGAAUCUUGGUCAAUGGGCGCGAGCCUGAACCAGCCAAGUCGCGUGAGGGAAGACGGUCCUCUGGUUUGUAAACCUCUUUUGUCGGGGAGCAAAUGCAGGCACGUGUGGCGUUCCGAGUGUACCCUAAGCAAAAGCAUCGGCUCACUCCGUUCCAGCAGCCGCGCUAAUACGGGGGAUGGGAGAGUUAUCCGGUGUUAGUGGGUUUAAAGGGUGGGCAGGCGGAGGAUCAAGUCAGCGGUAAAAUUGAGAGGCUCAACCUCUUCGCGCCGUUGAAACUGGUGUACUUGAGUGAGCGAGAGGUAUGCGGAAUGCGUGGUGUAGCGGUGAAAUGCAUAGAUAUCACGCAGAACUCCGAGGGCGAAGGCAGCAUACCGGCGCUCAACUGACGCUCAUGCACGAAAGUGUGGGUAUCGAACAGGAUUAGAUACCCGGGUAGUC